CCUACGGGUGGCAGCAGUGAGGAAUAUUGGUCAAUGGACGCAAGCCUGAACCAGCCAAGUAGCGUGCAGGAAGACUGCCCUAUGAGUUGUAAACUGCUUUUGUACGGGGAUAAAGGGAGGUACGUGUGUCUGUUUGAAAGUAUCGUAUGAAUAAGGAUCGGCUAACUCCGUGCCAGCAGCCGCGGUAAUACGGAGGAUCCGAGCGUUAUCCGGAUUUAUUGGGUUUAAAGGGAGCGUAGGCGGGUGGUUAAGUUAGAUGUGAAAUUUCGGGGCUCAACCUUGAGAUUGCAUCUGAUACUGGCAGGCUUGAGUGCAGUUGAGGUAGGCGGAAUGCGUGGUGUAGCGGUGAAAUGCUUAGAGAUCACGAAGAACCCCGAUUGCGAAGGCAGCCUACCAAACUGCUACUGACGUUGAUGCUCGAAAGCGUGGGUAUCAAACAGGAUUAGAUACCCGGGUAGUC
This 460-nucleotide ribosomal RNA is filed under the name uncultured bacterium. RNAcentral's name for it is "partial 16S ribosomal RNA". It matches the Rfam family "Bacterial small subunit ribosomal RNA", at positions 338 to 795 of the family's 1533-position model. The record is from RNAcentral.